ACCUGCAGAGCAAAGCCUGGCCCCGAGUCCGCCAGUUCCUCCAGGAGCAGAAGCCGGGCAGCCUCAUCGCUGACAUAGAUAUAGAAGACUGAGGCAUAAAGAUAUUAAUUAAAUUGCCUGACAUCACACCCAUAGUCAGUAUCAUACAUGUAGGAAGGCGCAGGCUCCCAGCCUGAGCUCUGCAGCACAACACCGUAUACACGCGGUCAUGGACAAGGCAGAUUCUAAGAGCCUUUCAAGGUCAGAAAACGGAGGCUACUCAGACAUUUAACUCCUUUUAUUUGUUGACGGAACCCUGCCCUGUGCCAGAUACGUAGGAUAUAAGCCAGGGAGUACAUAGCACGUGUGUAGAGUGUGUGCAGAAUAUGAAAAGGACGCGGCCUGACGGCGCCAGGCCGGGACAGAUACCUAUGACCACGUUGUACUGUUUAAUUGAACACAUGAAACUCCCUCUCAGAGAAUCACCACACAUAUUAGCAUAUUCAAGUCCUACCCUAAAGUGAUCUUGGACUUAACUGAGCUUGCCCUUGGCACAUGAACAUCCUCCAACACAAGCAUUCGGAGAAGCAUAUUUAAGAAAAUAAUGUGUCUGAUAGAAUAAAACGCAGACUCCUUCGGAUGGCAAAGCUCUUCCUAAACUGACUGCCAACUAUUUUUCAGCCUCCUCUCCUGUGAUCGCACCCACUUUUUUCUGUUCUGCAGUCUGCUUUAAACAAGGCCUUUAUUAGAAAUUACGUAAUGACAAGUAAUUAUCACGUCCCCUAGAUAUAAACUGGGAUUUCAAAUGCCAUCACUGUAAUCCUUCUCCAGAGAAAAAUGCAUGGUGUGGGCUUCACUCCACCAAUUCAAAGGGCAUAUGAGGUAAGUGUCAUCGCACACCCGUCCAGCAGAUGGAAAAGCCACGGGAACAGAAAGGCAUGACGGAGGCUUCCGCAGACCCCAAACCAGCUUGCUUCCCUCCUCUUUUCCCAGCCCUGACUCCAAACUCUGAUUACUGGCUUCACAGCACACACUCCUGGUCAAUCGUCCACAGAACUGGAGCAGGGACGCUUUACAAGAAGUCUCACCAACCAAGAACGGGGAUUACGAUGCAGACAGAAAGCUUUCAGGCAUGGCAGACACACACAUACACACACACACACACACACACACACACACACACACACAGAAACCUAAGGUUGCUGACAAAGAGAAAACGCUAACUGUGAUUUGUCCCAUUUCCCCACUGGUCCCACAGCAUGGGAUGCAGACUUUUAUAUUCUGUCCCUCUCUGGAUGCAAGUCUUCCUCAGGUGACUAGGCGCCCACGAUGGCCUAUCUGGAUGGGAUUGGGGCUAGCAUGCCAUCCGUAUGCCCAAUCUGAUGGACCUCUUCUGAGAACCCUUCGUCACACUUGAUCCCUCAUUUGGCAAAUAAAUAUAUAUUUUUGUCUCUUCUUCAACUGCAGCUGGGAGAAAUAAAGCUUACCUCUACCCAAUUAAUUAGUAAUUAAUCCAUACGAAGCAAUGCAUUUUCUCCAUGUGAAAUAUUCGCUUUUCUCUGGCUACUACCUCCACAUGGAGAAGACGGUGGGUCACCAUGGUUAAUCUGUCUCCAGUGUCACUGAAAAAGUGACAUUUAUAUUUGCACACACCCUGCAAGGAAUUUGCUUGAAUGACAAGCAUUUCUGUAAUGCGCUAAACACACCACUUCCAUCAGAUUAUCUACCAACGUAGCUGGAGGGACUCCCUUGGGGAAGGACUCACUCAGCUCCGAAGGCUCACUGCCGCGACCCUGGUGGGGGUUCCGAGAAACUGCAUCCGUGAAAAUGGUCCUUUGUUUUAAGAUGCUCUCGUAUAUAUUCUAUAAUGUAUAUAUUACAUAGCUGUAAUAGCUAUAUAUAUGUGUGUGUGUGUGUAUAUAUAUAUAUGUAUAUAUAGCUAGACAUCUAGCAUUAGUUGUUAUUAGUGACCAAGAAAAAGUAGUCCCGACAAUGUACUUGUCCAAACAUUAAAUUACCAAUUACCAUAGAAGUGCACUUCACUAGUAGAUUUUUUGUUUGUUUCAGGGAAAUGGAAAACUCAUUGUUAAAUAUUGCUCUGCUUCUUCUGAUGUAGACAUGUCUAUUUGUAUCAAAAGUGCAAAAACCUUUUUUCUACAAUCAAAAGUUUAGCUUUUCCCGGAAGCAGCUAGCGAUAGGUUUAAAAGCACAAACUGAUGUAAAACAUCUUGACUGUUGUCAUCAUCUGAAGAUCUUUUAUUUGCAUUAACCAAUGAUGUUUAGGAUUUUUUUGUAAUCAGUAUUAUUUAAAACGGUGUCAUCUGUAUGCCUAGGACUUAUGUGAGGCAGUUUACUUCAAUUAUGUGUGAGGGUACUUUUCAAAACUGUUACUAGACAAACAAAAGUUUGCUCUCAUCUGCACUUUGAGUGCGAUGGGACAGGUCUUGUUCCCGGUCCACUCAGACAGACACCUCUGCUUAUACUUAAAGAGAAUUGGGCAGAUUUGUAUUUGAAUUCUAUUAUCGUUGUCUAAAGGAAACCAAACUAACCAUUUAAUAACAGAUUGUCUCAAAGGGUUCGUUAAAGAAUAUUAUUGACUAACAAAUCUUUUAAGACGAAUAAAAAUGUGUUAGACUAUCCCAAAGGUGUGUGGACAUUCGGUACCGAUAUUGAAAGAACGUCAUUUUUUACCUUCUUGGAAGGCAGGCACCGCCACUGACCCACGCCAGCGGCAGGCUGCCAGCUCCUUCCCGGAGUCGGGGUGUCAGGUGUGAGGUAGUGGGGCACUGUGCCCGCCACUGCUGGGGCCCUAACGCAGCUCGGCUGGGCGUCCCAGCGGCAGGUGGCGCCCUGGCCGGGCGGGGCUGGGGGACAAGCCUGACCCAUGCUCGGGGAUGGGCUGGGAGAAGCUACAUUUCCCCGAGCAUCCGUUUGCCCCUCAGGGCGGCUGCUCAAGGCAAACCAAUAAAGUCCUGAAAACAAAA
Suricata suricatta (meerkat) is the source of this 2963-nucleotide RNA transcript. It is a transcript of the gene named tRNA methyltransferase 9B (putative), with no coding region annotated. The record is from RefSeq and is a predicted model, not a curated record. Lineage: Eukaryota; Metazoa; Chordata; Mammalia; Carnivora; Herpestidae. The transcript is spliced from 3 exons.